RNAcentral lists this ribosomal RNA (627 nucleotides) under Escherichia coli. RNAcentral describes it as "partial 23S ribosomal RNA". It matches the Rfam family "Bacterial large subunit ribosomal RNA", at positions 2191 to 2817 of the family's 2925-position model. The record is from RNAcentral. Lineage: Bacteria; Pseudomonadati; Pseudomonadota; Gammaproteobacteria; Enterobacterales; Enterobacteriaceae.
CUUGAAAUACCACCCUUUAAUGUUUGAUGUUCUAACGUUGACCCGUAAUCCGGGUUGCGGACAGUGUCUGGUGGGUAGUUUGACUGGGGCGGUCUCCUCCUAAAGAGUAACGGAGGAGCACGAAGGUUGGCUAAUCCUGGUCGGACAUCAGGAGGUUAGUGCAAUGGCAUAAGCCAGCUUGACUGCGAGCGUGACGGCGCGAGCAGGUGCGAAAGCAGGUCAUAGUGAUCCGGUGGUUCUGAAUGGAAGGGCCAUCGCUCAACGGAUAAAAGGUACUCCGGGGAUAACAGGCUGAUACCGCCCAAGAGUUCAUAUCGACGGCGGUGUUUGGCACCUCGAUGUCGGCUCAUCACAUCCUGGGGCUGAAGUAGGUCCCAAGGGUAUGGCUGUUCGCCAUUUAAAGUGGUACGCGAGCUGGGUUUAGAACGUCGUGAGACAGUUCGGUCCCUAUCUGCCGUGGGCGCUGGAGAACUGAGGGGGGCUGCUCCUAGUACGAGAGGACCGGAGUGGACGCAUCACUGGUGUUCGGGUUGUCAUGCCAAUGGCACUGCCCGGUAGCUAAAUGCGGAAGAGAUAAGUGCUGAAAGCAUCUAAGCACGAAACUUGCCCCGAGAUGAGUUCUCCCUG